AUUAACGCUGGCGGCGUGCAUGAGACAUGCAAGUCGAACGGACGGGCGAGCUUGCUCGCCCGUUAGUGGCGGACGGCUGAGUAACGCGCGGGUGACCUGCCCCGAAGUGGGGAAUAACUGCCCGAAAGGGUGGCUAAUACCGCAUGUGGUGACUGGUUCGUUCCAGUCUCCAAAGCCGCAAGGCGCUUCGGGAGGGGCCUGCGUCCGAUUAGCUCGUUGGUGGGGUAACGGCUCACCAAGGCGACGAUCGGUAGGUG
RNAcentral lists this ribosomal RNA (257 nucleotides) under uncultured bacterium. Its description in RNAcentral is "partial 16S ribosomal RNA". It matches the Rfam family "Bacterial small subunit ribosomal RNA", at positions 29 to 289 of the family's 1533-position model. The record is from RNAcentral.